GGCACAUGGAAAAGUAUACAUGGAGAGAUGUCAAUUAACAACUUGUAGGCAAUCAUUGAUAGGAACCAUGAAUAUGACACAUGAGACAGCAGCAAGAAGAGUUUGAAGCAUAUUAAAACAAUGACCUGAUAUGGAGGAACGGCUACCCUGCAAGAAACCAGACGGAAACAGGUCAAAGAAAACACACCAUUUUUUUUCU
This 199-nucleotide long non-coding RNA is filed under the name Elaeis guineensis (African oil palm). RNAcentral describes it as "long non-coding RNA (EGUI_LNC008273)". Lineage: Eukaryota; Viridiplantae; Streptophyta; Magnoliopsida; Arecales; Arecaceae. The record is from RNAcentral.